RNAcentral lists this small RNA (286 nucleotides) under Vigna angularis var. angularis. RNAcentral describes it as "Non-protein coding transcript". The record is from RNAcentral. Lineage: Eukaryota; Viridiplantae; Streptophyta; Magnoliopsida; Fabales; Fabaceae.
CAGAUUCCGAGCGUGCCAGAUCGUCUUCGAGAUAAUAUUGCGGCUUCUAGAUGACGCAGAAGUGAGCAAUGAGAUAUGGGAUUAGGUGAUUGAGUGGAUGAUGGUGAGGGUACGAGACAAGAUCCCUGUGGUGCGUAGUUUUCCCCUCAUGUCAUUAGCUAAUGAGUGUGCCAAAUGCCAUGGACUAAAAAUUGGGAAGGCAGUUGAUGAUGAUGAUGAUGUGGGGAACUACUUUGUGCUUGCAAUGGUGUUUCCUGCUAGUAAGAUGACAAUUGAUGAGGUGAAG